This 479-nucleotide ribosomal RNA is filed under the name uncultured bacterium. Its description in RNAcentral is "bacterial SSU rRNA". It matches the Rfam family "Bacterial small subunit ribosomal RNA", at positions 119 to 611 of the family's 1533-position model. The record is from RNAcentral.
AAGGAACUUGCCUCUUGGACUGGGACAACUGUUGGAAACGACAGCUAAUACCGGAUAUUAUGAGAUUCUCGCAUGAGAAACUUAUGAAAGCUAUAUGCGCCAAGAGAGAGCCUUGCGUUCCAUUAGCUAGUUGGUGGGGUAACGGCCCACCAAGGCGACGAUGGAUAGCCGGCCUGAGAGGGUGAACGGCCACAAGGGGACUGAGACACGGCCCUUACUCCUACGGGAGGCAGCAGUGGGGAAUAUUGGACAAUGGGCCACAAGCCUGAUCCAGCAAUUCUGUGUGCACGAUGAAGGUCUUCGGAUUGUAAAGUGCUUUCAGUUGGGAAGAAGAAAGUGACGGUACCAACAGAAGAAGCGACGGCUAAAUACGUGCCAGCAGCCGCGGUAAUACGUAUGUCGCAAGCGUUAUCCGGAUUUAUUGGGCGUAAAGCGCGUCUAGGCGGAAAAAUAAGUCUGAUGUUAAAAUGCGGGGCUCA